RNAcentral lists this ribosomal RNA (501 nucleotides) under uncultured bacterium. RNAcentral describes it as "partial 16S ribosomal RNA". It matches the Rfam family "Bacterial small subunit ribosomal RNA", at positions 28 to 523 of the family's 1533-position model. The record is from RNAcentral.
GAUGAACGCUAGCGGCAGGCUUAAUACAUGCAAGUCGAGGGGCAGCACAGAUAGCAAUAUUGGGUGGCGACCGGCAAACGGGUGCGGAACACGUACACAACCUUCCUUUUAGUGUGGGAUAGCCCAGAGAAAUUUGGAUUAAUACCACAUAGUAUAUUGGAGUGGCAUCACUUUGAUAUUAAAGAUUUAUCGCUAAAAGAUGGGUGUGCGUAUGAUUAGGUAGUUGGUAGAGGUAACGGCUCACCAAGCCUUCGAUCAUUAACUGGUGUGAGAGCACGACCAGUCAAACGGGCACUGAGCAACGGGCCCGACUCCUACGGGAGGCAGCAGUAAGGAAUAUUGGUCAAUGGACGGAAGUUUGAACCAGCCAUGCCGCGUGAAGGAUGACGGCCCUCUGGGUUGUAAACUUCUUUUAUGUGGGACGAAAAAGGGCCAUUUUUGGUCAACUGACGGUACCAUAGGAAUAAGCACCGGCUAACUCCGUGCCAGCCGCCGCAGUAA